This 433-nucleotide ribosomal RNA is filed under the name uncultured bacterium. Its description in RNAcentral is "partial 16S ribosomal RNA". It matches the Rfam family "Bacterial small subunit ribosomal RNA", at positions 29 to 507 of the family's 1533-position model. The record is from RNAcentral.
AACGAACGCUGGCGGCAUGCCUAACACAUGCAAGUCGAACGAGACCUUCGGGUCUAGUGGCGCACGGGUGCGUAACGCGUGGGAACCUGCCCUUAGGUUCGGAAUAACUCCCCGAAAGGGGUGCUAAUACCGGAUAAUGUCUUCGGCCCAAAGAUUUAUCGCCUUUGGAUGGGCCCGCGUUGGAUUAGCUAGUUGGUAGGGUAAAAGCCUACCAAGGCGACGAUCCAUAGCUGGUCUGAGAGGAUGAUCAGCCACACUGGGACUGAGACACGGCCCAGACUCCUACGGGAGGCAGCAGAGGGGAAUAGUGGACAAUGGGCGAAAGGCUGAUCCAGCAAUGACGCGUGAGUGAUGAAGGCCUUAGGGUUGUAAAGCUCUUUUACCCGGGAUGAUAAUGACAGUACCGGGAGAAUAAGCUCCGGCUAACUCCGUG